RNAcentral lists this long non-coding RNA (401 nucleotides) under Marmota monax (woodchuck). Lineage: Eukaryota; Metazoa; Chordata; Mammalia; Rodentia; Sciuridae. The record is from RNAcentral.
GAGCACCCAGCAUCCCCCUCGUUGGGAGCCUGUCACCUGGAUGUGAAGCACUGUUGACUACUGGAAAGGGACAGCUAUAGAGUAGAAGCUGCGGCAAAAGCUUUGCUGAGUGAAUGGAGGGAAGGGAGGAGGGGCCAAGGAGGAUGGAGUUUACCUGGCCCAGUAAAGCUGAGGCGGGAGAAGACCAGCUGUAAGUACCUUGAUGAGAGAGCCCAGGCUGAAUGGCACAGUCCCCAGACUCCUAGCAGGUGUGGAAUAGGACCUGGGUGGACCUCAGAGAGGCCCAGGUGUGCUGGUGAGAGAUGCUGUAGCCUGAAGGGAACAGGAGAGGGGUGCCAGGCCUCCUAAGGUGAGGAGCCUGUGCUGGUCGAGAUCCUGCUGACCCCACAGGGUUUGUUCCC